UUAUUGUCGGCGUUGCAUUGGUGGAGAGGCAGAUAUGGACUUCAUAAUUUGUGCCUCAUGUUUUAAUUCAUUUUGAACAGCUUUUAGUGGGUACAGUUUCCCGUUUUUAGAAAUGGGAGUAUUAAUAAACAUUGAAAAGUUUUUGUCGAAGUCUGACUUCCGCUUUUAUCUAAGAAACAAGCUGCCUUGGCCUUGGAUAGUUUAUUAAGUUUAUUUGAUAUCUCAUUUGUGAUUUAACCUGCGAACUGCCUGUGAACUUGGUGUUCCAAAGGUAACGAAAUGGAUAAAAUGUGGUCUAUUUCUUCUAAAGUAUUGAUCUUAUAAUUAAAGUUUUGUGUUCUCUGUCUGUGUUUUCAUUCAAAAUAUUUAAAAUUUAUUAAAAAGGUUUGCAA
Long non-coding RNA from Melitaea cinxia (Glanville fritillary), 392 nucleotides. RefSeq lists it as uncharacterized. NCBI's taxonomy places the organism in Eukaryota, Metazoa, Arthropoda, Insecta, Lepidoptera, Nymphalidae. The transcript has 2 exons. The record is from RefSeq and is a predicted model, not a curated record.